This 166-nucleotide small nuclear RNA is filed under the name Suricata suricatta (meerkat). RNAcentral describes it as "U2 spliceosomal RNA (ENSSSUG00005005185.1)". It matches the Rfam family "U2 spliceosomal RNA". From Rfam's summary of the family: U2 is a small nuclear RNA (snRNA) component of the spliceosome (involved in pre-mRNA splicing). Complementary binding between U2 snRNA (in an area lying towards the 5' end but 3' to hairpin I) and the branchpoint sequence (BPS) of the intron results the bulging out of an unpaired adenosine, on the BPS, which initiates a nucleophilic attack at the intronic 5' splice site, thus starting the first of two transesterification reactions that mediate splicing. The record is from Rfam by way of RNAcentral. Lineage: Eukaryota; Metazoa; Chordata; Mammalia; Carnivora; Herpestidae.
GUCACUUCUUGGCCUUUUGGCUAAGAUCAAGUGUAGUAUCUGUUCUUAUCAAUUUAAUAAAUACUAGUUGAGUGAGCAUACUAUUGCAUUUUAAAGUCAGGUAAAAUUUUACCUCAGGUAAAGCCAAUCUGAUGGAAGAAAUCUGCUUCUGAGUAGUUUAACAAUC